AUACGUAGGGACCAAGCGUUGUCCGGAAUCAUUGGGCGUAAAGCGCACGUAGGCGGUCCGUUAAGUCGGAUGCGAAAUCCCAGGGCUCAACCCUGGAACUGCAUCCGAUACUGGCGGACUUGAGGAAGGUAGAGGAGAGUGGAAUUCCCGGUGUAGCGGUGGAAUGCGCAGAUAUCGGGAGGAACACCAGUUGCGAAGGCGGCUCUCUGGGCCUUUCCUGACGCUGAGGUGCGAAAGCGUGGGUAGCCAACAGGAUUAGAUACCCUGGUAGUCCACGCCGUAAACGAUGGGUACUAGAUGUGGGGAUUGUUCAUGGUCUCUGUGUCGAAGCUAACGCGUUAAGUACCCCGCCUGGGGACUACGGCCGCAAGGCUAAAAACUCAAAGGAAUUGACGGGGCCCGCACAAGCGGCGGAGCAUGUGGCUUAAUUCGAAGCAACGCGAAGAACCUUACCUGGGCUUGACAUAUACCUUACAGCUAUAGAGAUAUAGCGGAUUCGUUC
RNAcentral lists this ribosomal RNA (502 nucleotides) under uncultured Nitriliruptoraceae bacterium. RNAcentral describes it as "bacterial SSU rRNA". It matches the Rfam family "Bacterial small subunit ribosomal RNA", at positions 523 to 1022 of the family's 1533-position model. The record is from RNAcentral. Lineage: Bacteria; Bacillati; Actinomycetota; Nitriliruptoria; Nitriliruptorales; Nitriliruptoraceae.